GGUCGCGUGGCCCAAUGGCAAGGCGUCUGACUACGACUGAGCAACGAGGUCAUCUCGGAGUUUCGGUACAUCAGGAGAUUGCGGGUUCGAUCCCCGUCGUGACCU
Transfer RNA from Trichosporon asahii var. asahii CBS 8904, 105 nucleotides. It matches the Rfam family "tRNA". Rfam says of the family: Transfer RNA (tRNA) molecules are approximately 80 nucleotides in length. Their secondary structure includes four short double-helical elements and three loops (D, anti-codon, and T loops). NCBI's taxonomy places the organism in Eukaryota, Fungi, Basidiomycota, Tremellomycetes, Trichosporonales, Trichosporonaceae. The record is from Rfam.